RNAcentral lists this ribosomal RNA (443 nucleotides) under uncultured bacterium. Its description in RNAcentral is "partial 16S ribosomal RNA". It matches the Rfam family "Bacterial small subunit ribosomal RNA", at positions 338 to 795 of the family's 1533-position model. The record is from RNAcentral.
CCUACGGGUGGCAGCAGUGGGGAAUAUUGGGCAAUGGGCGCAAGCCUGACCCAGCAACGCCGCGUGAAGGAAGAAGGCUUUCGGGUUGUAAACUUCUUUUAAGAGGGAAGAGCAGAAGACGGUACCUCUUGAAUAAGCCACGGCUAACUACGGGCCAGCAGCCGCGGUAAUACGUAGGGGGCAAGCGUUGUCCGGAUUUACUGGGUGUAAAGGGCGUGUAGCCGGGCUGACAAGUCAGAUGUGAAAUCCCGUGGCUCAACCACGGAACUGCAGUUGAAACUGUCGGUCUUGAGUAUCGGAGAGGCAGGGGGAAGUCCGAGGGUAGCGGUGAAAUGCGUAGAUAUUAGGAGGAACACCAGUGGCGAAGGCGGCCUGCUGGACGACAACUGACGGUGAGGCGCGAAAGCGUGGGGAGCAAACAGGAUUAGAUACCCCGGGUAGUC